This 460-nucleotide ribosomal RNA is filed under the name uncultured bacterium. RNAcentral's name for it is "partial 16S ribosomal RNA". It matches the Rfam family "Bacterial small subunit ribosomal RNA", at positions 338 to 795 of the family's 1533-position model. The record is from RNAcentral.
CCUACGGGAGGCAGCAGUGAGGAAUAUUGGGCAAUGGGCGAAAGCCUGACCCAGCCAAGUAGCGUGAGGGAUGACUGCCCUACGGGUUGUAAACUUCUUUUAUAGAGGAAUCAGGUGCGUCACUUGUGCCUUUUUGUAUUUACUUUAUGAAUAAGGAUCGGCUAACUCCUUGCCGUCAGCCGCGGUAAUACGGUGUAUGCGAGCGUUAUCCGGAUUUAUUGGGUUUAAAGGGAGCGUAGCUGGGUGGUUAAGUCAGUUGUGAAAGUUUGCGGCUCAACCGUAAAAUUGCAAUUGAUACUGGCAGACUGGAGUAUAGUUGAGGUAGGUGGAAUUCGAGGUGUAGCGGUGAAAUGCUGAGAUAUCACGAAGAACUCCGAUGGCGAAGGCAGCUUACUAAACUGUAACUGACAUUGAUGAGCGAAAGUGUGGGUAUCAAACAGGAUUAGAUACCCGAGUAGUC